CUGAGGGAAGUAGUCCCUCUUCCUCUGUCCCAGGAUCCUGACACUGUUUCUUGGAGACUUUCUCCUUCGGGUGAAUUCUCCGUUAGUUCGGCCUAUCAGGCAUUAUGUCAUGUGCCUACAUGGCUAUCCCCACUGUGGAAGGCACCGAUGCCCUUGAAGAUUAAGAUCUUCGUAUGGCAGCUUCUACGAGAUCGUCUCGCUUCGGGGACCGAGGUGCUGAAACGCCAUGGUCCGGGCAAUGGCCUUUGCCCUUUGUGCCAUGUUCCGGAAACGGGAACACACAAUUUGUUUUCUUGCGUAGCAGCGCACGCACUUUGGUGCUUUGUUCGUGAGGCUCUAGGACCAGAGUGGGAGGCCCGUGACCUUGCAGACUUUCUGCAGGUAAGGGCCACCCAGGUUGGCCGUAAGCGCCGACUGUUCUGGCGCAACAAGAUGGUUGGCCGUAAGCGCCGACUGUUCUGGCGCAACAAGAUGGUGAUUGAGCGGGUGUUCCUGCGUCGUGCUUCUGACUCGUUCUUCAAAUUUCUUGCCUUCUUGCAGUACUGGCAUCCGCUCGCUAAGCCGAGGGAUCGUGACCGUCUUCAGCUCUUGCUGGACGCCCUGGUGUCUACCGCGCAUCGGCUCUCCAACCGCCCGCCUGCUUCGUAG
This 648-nucleotide ribosomal RNA is filed under the name Triticum aestivum (bread wheat). RNAcentral's name for it is "partial small subunit ribosomal RNA". Lineage: Eukaryota; Viridiplantae; Streptophyta; Magnoliopsida; Poales; Poaceae. The record is from RNAcentral.